GAUGAACGCUGGCGGCGUGCCUAAUACAUGCAAGUCGAGCGAACAGAUAAGGAGCUUGCUCCUUUGACGUUAGCGGCGGACGGGUGAGUAACACGUGGGUAACCUACCUAUAAGACUGGGAUAACUUCGGGAAACCGGAGCUAAUACCGGAUAACAUUUGGAACCGCAUGGUUCUAAAGUGAAAGAUGGUUUUGCUAUCACUUAUAGAUGGACCCGCGCCGUAUUAGCUAGUUGGUAAGGUAACGGCUUACCAAGGCGACGAUACGUAGCCGACCUGAGAGGGUGGUCGGCCACACUGGAACUGAGACACGGUCCAGACUCCUACGGGAGGCAGCAGUAGGGAAUCUUCCGCAAUGGGCGAAAGCCUGACGGAGCAACGCCGCGUGAGUGAUGAAGGGUUUCGGCUCGUAAAACUCUGUUAUUAGGGAAGAACAAAUGUGUAAGUAACUGUGCACGUCUUGACGGUACCUAAUCAGAAAGCCACGGCUAACUACGUG
This 497-nucleotide ribosomal RNA is filed under the name uncultured bacterium. Its description in RNAcentral is "partial 16S ribosomal RNA". It matches the Rfam family "Bacterial small subunit ribosomal RNA", at positions 28 to 507 of the family's 1533-position model. The record is from RNAcentral.